AGCGUAGACGGCGACACAAGUCUGAAGUGAAAUACCCGGGCUCAACCUGGGAACUGCUUUGGAAACUGUGUUGCUAGAGUGCUGGAGAGGUAAGCGGAAUUCCUAGUGUAGCGGUGAAAUGCGUAGAUAUUAGGAAGAACACCAGUGGCGAAGGCGGCUUACUGGACAGUAACUGACGUUGAGGUACGAAAGCAUGGGGAAGCAAACA
RNAcentral lists this ribosomal RNA (208 nucleotides) under uncultured bacterium. RNAcentral describes it as "partial 16S ribosomal RNA". It matches the Rfam family "Bacterial small subunit ribosomal RNA", at positions 568 to 774 of the family's 1533-position model. The record is from RNAcentral.